This 447-nucleotide ribosomal RNA is filed under the name uncultured bacterium. RNAcentral's name for it is "bacterial SSU rRNA". It matches the Rfam family "Bacterial small subunit ribosomal RNA", at positions 355 to 825 of the family's 1533-position model. The record is from RNAcentral.
UCGGGAAUUUUGGGCAAUGGGCGAAAGCCUGACCCAGCAACGCCGCGUGAAGGAUGAGGUAUUUCGGUAUGUAAACUUCGAAAGAAUAGGAAGAAUAAAUGACGGUACUAUUUAUAAGGUCCGGCUAACUACGUGCCAGCAGCCGCGGUAAUACGUAGGGACCAAGCGUUGUUCGGAUUUACUGGGCGUAAAGGGCGCGUAGGCGGCAAUUCAAGUCAUCUGUGAAAUCUCCGGGCUUAACUCGGAACGGUCAGAUGAUACUGCUUUGCUAGAGUGCAGAAGGGGCAAUCGGAAUUCUUGGUGUAGCGGUGAAAUGCGUAGAUAUCAAGAGGAACACCUGAGGUGAAGACGGGUUGCUGGGCUGACACUGACGCUGAGGCGCGAAAGCCAGAGGAGCAAACGGGAUUAGAUACCCUAGUAGUCCCUGAGCGGGCUGGCAAGGCGCAU